This 716-nucleotide ribosomal RNA is filed under the name Meandrina meandrites. RNAcentral's name for it is "partial 12S small subunit ribosomal RNA". It matches the Rfam family "Bacterial small subunit ribosomal RNA", at positions 312 to 1493 of the family's 1533-position model. Lineage: Eukaryota; Metazoa; Cnidaria; Anthozoa; Scleractinia; Meandrinidae. The record is from RNAcentral.
UUUCACUGAAACAAGGGAAAACAUUGGCAGCAGUAAAGAAUUUUAUGCAAUAUACGAAAGUAAGACAUAGGUAGGACAUUUUAACCUGUCAAAUUAAGUGCCAGCAGACGCGGUGAAACUUAAGGGUUUGUUUUUUAGAAAAAGCAGAAAGCGUGUAAAGGUAAAAUGUUUAAAAUAAAUAGAAUUUUUUUAGUAAUAGUGAAAUGUUAAAAUGAGAAAAAGAAUUUUUUAUGUGAAAACAAUUUAUUUUUUUUCUUGAACACGAAGGUUCUGGGAGCAAACAGGAUUAGAGACCCUGGUAGUCGAUACAGUAAAAGAAAGUCGCUUGAGUAGUACGAUCGCAAGAUUAAAAUUCAAAAAACUUGGCUGUUUAUUGUUAUUUAGAGGAGCGUGUCGCUUAAUUCGAUAAUCCGCGAAUUACCUUACCAAGACUGGGUUAUCAGGUGUUGCAUGGCCGUCGUCAAUUUAUGUUUGAUACAAUAGAUUAAACCCUAGAAAGGUUGAAGUCAGGUAUUAUUGCCCUUAUGUUUUGGGGUUAGAUGCGCUACAUUUUUUUUUUAAUAAAAAAAAAGAGUUCGGAUUGUCUUUUAAAGAGGGUGAUUAAGUUGAAUUUAAUAGUAAUUGAAAAGUAGAGCGUUUCAAUGAAUUUUAAGCAAUAUUAGUUCAAAUAGCCCGUCGCCUUUACUAAGGUAAACAAAGUAGAGUAAGUCGUAACA